Molecule: ribosomal RNA, 458 nt
Filed under: uncultured bacterium
Lineage: Bacteria
Description: partial 16S ribosomal RNA
Rfam family: Bacterial small subunit ribosomal RNA
Source: RNAcentral
CCUACGGGGAGCAGCAGUGAGGAAUAUUGGUCAAUGGGCGAGAGCCUGAACCAGCCAAGUCGCGUGAGGGAGUACUGCCCUAUGGGUUGUAAACCUCUUUUGUCGGGGCGCAAAAGCCGGACGUGUCCGGCUGUGAGAGUACCCGAAGAAAAAGCAUCGGCUAACUCCGUGCCCGCAGCCGCGGUAAUACGGAGGAUGCGAGCGUUAUCCGGAUUGAUUGGGUUUAAAGGGUGCGCAGGCGGAUUUUUAAUUCAGCGGUCAAAUCGUGGGGGUAAACCCCAGCCAGCCGUUGAAACUGGGGAUCUAGAGUGUGCGAGAGGGAUGUGGAAUGCGUGGUGUAGCGGUGAAAUGCAUAGAUAUCACGCAGAACCCCGAUUGCGAAGGCAGCAUACCGGUGCACAACUGACGCUCAGGCACGAAAGCGUGGGUAUCGAACAGGAUUAGAUACCCUGGUAGUC